Ostrinia nubilalis (European corn borer) is the source of this 1705-nucleotide long non-coding RNA. RefSeq lists it as uncharacterized. The transcript is spliced from 2 exons. The record is from RefSeq and is a predicted model, not a curated record. NCBI's taxonomy places the organism in Eukaryota, Metazoa, Arthropoda, Insecta, Lepidoptera, Crambidae.
AGGGAUUCGAGAGUUCUGGCUCACCCAACUCUGGCUCACCUAAAUCCGAAACUCCGGGGGCUAAAAAAAAAAAAAAAAAAAAAAAAAAAAAAAAAAAAAAAAAAAAAAAAAAAAGGUUUAGGGGGUCACUUGGAGCGAUUGCACGCAUCCCCAGCUUCGUAUCUGCAACGGAUCCGGAGAUAAACAUCCGCGAAUGUGUGUCCUACUUUAUUUGUUAAUUAUUCCUUCAUUAAUUACCAACAACUAAUGACUCCAUUAUUGUAUGACUCACCACAUUAUAUUCCAAAACCAGUAACAUAACAUCUACCACAUUCCAAGACAAGUUACUAUUAACUAAUAAUAUCUAUUAAAAAUCCAUUGCUAAAUUGACAUUACUGGUAUAAAUACCCAUAUACAUCACUACUUUCUUCACACUUCUUCCUCUGAAUUCGUAUUCAAUACCUAUCAACACAAGACUCAAUAACAUCCAUAACUAUGGAGUUACAGAUUCCUGAAUCCGAAUGUAAUGUUGCAUUCGAUGAAAAUACAUUUAAAAACUACUACUUCCCUUUGUCUGAUGAAGAUGAGAUUCCUCCAUACCAACAAAGUUCAAGUUCAAGCAAGAGAACAAACAAUGAAUCCAUUGACGAAUUCUUCACCACACCAAACAAGAAAGCUAAAACAAAAAAGUCCUCGACAGUGGGACGUCCGAAUCCAAAUAUUGAUUCUAUAUCCUAUGUUUCAUCUAACGCGGAUGAUGGAUCAAAAGCGACGCACUUAAUUAAAGUUGAAAUUUAUGAAUUAAAAAAAAUUGAAAACAUAGAGCCAUCUGAACAAUGGAAACAUGCGGAUGUACGUGUGAAAUAUUUCACAAAACCAACAAACGAUUCCAUACAUAGAAAAACUCGACAAUUAGUUUACGAUAUAACAAAGAGCAUAUCGAAUGCACCGGGGUGCCAAAAAUAUACGGUAAGCAAUAAAAAAUAAAAAUGCUUUGAGAUUCCUCCAUACCAACAAAGUUCAAGCAAGAGAACAAACAAUGAAUCCAUUGACGAAUUCUUCACCACACCAAACAAGAAAGCUAAAACAAAAAAGUCCUCGAUAGUGGGAACGUCCGAAUCUGAAUAUUGAUUCCAUAUCCUAUGUUUCAUCUAACGCGGAUGAUGGAUCGAAAACAACGCACUUAAUUAAAGUUGAAAUUUAUGAAUUUAAAAAAUUGAAAACAUAGACAAAUCAGAGCAAUGGAAACAUGCGGAUGUACGUGUGAAAUAUUUCACAAAACCAACAAACGAUUCAAUACAUAGAAAAACUCGACAAUUAGUUUACGAAAUAACAAAGAGCAUAUCGAAUGCACCGGGGUGCCAAAAAUAUACGGUAAGCAAUAAAAAAUAAAAAUGCUUUGAGAUUCCUCCAUACCAACAAAGUUCAAGUAAGAGAACAAACAAUGAAUUCAUUGACGAAUUCUUCACCACACCAAACAAGAAAGCUAAAACAAAAAUGUCCUCGACAGUGGAACGUCCGAAUCCGAUUAUUGAAUCCAUAUCCUAUGUUUCAUCUAGCGCGGAUGAUGGAUCGAAAGCAACACACUUAAAUAAAGAUGAAAUUUAUGAUUUAAAAAAAUUAAAACAUAUGAGAUAUUAUACAAAACUAACUUUUUAAGUAAUUUUAAGUUUUCUUGUAAAUGUAAUAUAAAAUCGUUUAUUGAAUAAAAAACACUUUUUAAGCA